Molecule: ribosomal RNA, 440 nt
Filed under: uncultured bacterium
Lineage: Bacteria
Description: partial 16S ribosomal RNA
Rfam family: Bacterial small subunit ribosomal RNA
Source: RNAcentral
CCUACGGGAGGCAGCAGUGGGGAAUAUUGGUCAAUGGGGGAAACCCUGAAGCAGCAACGCCGCGUGAAGGAUGAAGGUUUUCGGAUUGUAAAGUUCUUUUGUUAGAGAAGAUGAUGACGGUGUUUAACUAAUAAUCACCGGCUAACUCCUUGCCAGCAGCCGCGGUAAUACGGCGGGUGCAAGCGUUACUCGGAAUCACUGGGCGUAAGGAGCGCGUAGGCGGGGUAGCAAGUCAGAUGUGAAAUCCUAUGGCUUAACCAUAGAACUGCAUUUGAAACUGUUUUUCUAGAGUAUGGGAGAGGUAGGUGGAAUUCUUGGUGUAGGGGUAAAAUCCGUAGAGAUCAAGAGGUAUACUCAUUGCGAAGGCGACCUGCUAGAACAUAACUGACGCUGAUGCGCGAAAGCGUGGGGAGCAAACAGGAUUAGAUACCCUUGUAGUC